Molecule: long non-coding RNA, 426 nt
Organism: Drosophila miranda
Lineage: Eukaryota; Metazoa; Arthropoda; Insecta; Diptera; Drosophilidae
Exons: 3
Source: RefSeq, a predicted model, not a curated record
UUCAAUUAAGGGGCCCCAAACGUAGGCCAUCGCCUACUCCUCGCCUUGCUCAACACGAAACUCCGCUUAUAUAUCUCCUGACCCGGCUUCAUGAGAGUUUCCUCGGACCUCAUCUCGGACUAUUUCCAUCUUAUCACUCCUCGCCAAGGGUGACACUUGUGCAUCAUUUAGGGCGCCCAGUCUGCGUGCCAAUUUAUAAUCACGGCCGCUAGUAAACAUGUGCUGCCCAAACAACACAAAGUAUGGCGACGUCCCGAUGCCCGUGUGUAUAGCACUCCUAGCCACACACUGGAUAUCCCUCAGCUUCUCGUCCCAGUACUGUCUGGUUCACUCGUUCGGCCGCGUUCGCCUGCGGUGCAUAGUUCCCCGACUUCAGGCACGCCAAACUGCGCGAAGACCUCGGCGUGCAAGAAUCGGAAGCCUUCA